UACGGAGGGGGCUAGCGUUGUUCGGAAUUACUGGGCGUAAAGGGCGCGCAGGCGGCCGAUCAAGUCAGGCGUGAAAGCCCCGGGCUCAACCUGGGAAUUGCGCUUGAGACUGGUGGGCUGGAGAUCGGGAGAGGCGAGUGGAAUUCCCAGUGUAGAGGUGAAAUUCGUAGAUAUUGGGAAGAACACCGGUGGCGAAGGCGGCUCGCUGGCCCGGAUCUGACGCUGAGGCGCGAAAGCGUGGGGAGCAAACAGG
RNAcentral lists this unclassified non-coding RNA (253 nucleotides) under uncultured Alphaproteobacteria bacterium. Its description in RNAcentral is "contains 16S-23S intergenic spacer region". It matches the Rfam family "Bacterial small subunit ribosomal RNA", at positions 524 to 776 of the family's 1533-position model. Lineage: Bacteria; Pseudomonadati; Pseudomonadota; Alphaproteobacteria. The record is from RNAcentral.